Molecule: long non-coding RNA, 224 nt
Filed under: Drosophila guanche
Lineage: Eukaryota; Metazoa; Arthropoda; Insecta; Diptera; Drosophilidae
Source: RNAcentral
GUAUGUGCCACACAGCGAAAGCGGCAAUGAGGCAGAGGCAGAGGCAGAGGCAGGCACAUGGAGAGGGGACAGUGGGCAGGGGCAGAGCUUCAUCACCGAUUCCCUGGCAAAUGUGGCAAUGUAAUUGCCGUUUUGUGGUCUCCACACUGGCUGUUGGCUGUUGGCUUUUGGCUGUUUGCCUCUCGGUUGUUUCUGUUUCUGUUUCUGUUUAUGUUGUUGUUUUG